Molecule: ribosomal RNA, 439 nt
Filed under: uncultured bacterium
Lineage: Bacteria
Description: partial 16S ribosomal RNA
Rfam family: Bacterial small subunit ribosomal RNA
Source: RNAcentral
CUACGGGCUGCUGCAGUGAGGAAUAUUGCACAAUGGGGGGAACCCUGAUGCAGCAACGCCGCGUGGAGGAUGACGCAUUUCGGUGUGUAAACUCCUUUUAUAUGUCAAGAAAAUGACGGUAGCAUAUGAAUAAGCACCGGCUAACUCCGUGCCAGCAGCCGCGGUAAUACGGAGGGUGCAAGCGUUACUCGGAAUCACUGGGCGUAAAGGACGCGUAGGCGGGUUGGAAAGUCAGGUGUGAAAUCCUACAGCUUAACUGUAGAACUGCACUUGGAACUUCUAAUCUAGAGUAUGGGAGGGGGAGAUGGAAUUAGUGGUGUAGGGGUAAAAUCCGUAGAUAUCACUAGGAAUACCUAAAGCGAAGGCGAUCUCCUGGAACAUUACUGACGCUAAGGUGUGAAAGCGUGGGGAGCAAACAGGAUUAGAUACCCCAGUAGUC